UACAGAGGGGGCAAGCGUUGUUCGGAAUUACUGGGCGUAAAGGGCGCGUAGGCGGCCUGCUAAGUCGAACGUGAAAUCCCUGGGCUCAACCCAGGAACUGCGUCCGAUACUGGUUGGCUUGAAUCCGGGAGAGGGAUGCGGAAUUCCAGGUGUAGCGGUGAAAUGCGUAGAUAUCUGGAGGAACACCGGUGGCGAAGGCGGCAUCCUGGACCGGCAUUGACGCUGAGGUGCGAAAGCGUGGGGAGCAAACAGG
RNAcentral lists this ribosomal RNA (253 nucleotides) under uncultured bacterium. Its description in RNAcentral is "partial 16S ribosomal RNA". It matches the Rfam family "Bacterial small subunit ribosomal RNA", at positions 524 to 776 of the family's 1533-position model. The record is from RNAcentral.